UACGGAGGUCCCAAGCGUUGUUCGGAUUCACUGGGCGUAAAGGGUGCGUAGGUGGUCGGGUAAGUCUGAUGUGAAAUCUCCGGGCCUAACCCGGAAACUGCAUCGGAUACUAUUCGGCUAGAGGGUUGGAGGGGGGACUGGAAUACUUGGUGUAGCAGUGAAAUGCGUAGAUAUCAAGUGGAACACCAGUGGCGAAGGCGAGUUCCUGGACAACUCCUGACACUGAGGCACGAAAGCUAGGGGAGCAAACAGG
This 253-nucleotide ribosomal RNA is filed under the name uncultured bacterium. RNAcentral's name for it is "partial 16S ribosomal RNA". It matches the Rfam family "Bacterial small subunit ribosomal RNA", at positions 524 to 776 of the family's 1533-position model. The record is from RNAcentral.